This 815-nucleotide long non-coding RNA is filed under the name Homo sapiens (human). RNAcentral describes it as "HSALNT0332150". Lineage: Eukaryota; Metazoa; Chordata; Mammalia; Primates; Hominidae. The record is from RNAcentral.
GUUGUGCAAGCAGGCUCUGGAGACCCGCAGGCUCCUGGGCAGAGGGCUGCCUUCUGUGUGGGCUUGCCCCUCGCCACACCUGGCCAGGAGCCUCCCCCAGCCCCGUGACCCUUGUGUCAGAGCCUGGCCAGAUGACAGACGGCCUGGGGUGCAGGCGAGACCCACUGAACUGGCAGCUGAGGACAGGUCCAGGCCCAGUGGCUGGGGGACUUCUCAGAGCAGGUACCACAACAGCUACCCAAGGACUCAGGACUUUUCUCCCACAGCCAGACUUGGUGAUUGCAUGAAGGAGCCCAGCCUCGGAUGACCUUUCCCCGUGACAAGGCACUAGGAGAGCACAGACCUCCCCACACAAACACUGAGACACCCAACCUUGCGUGACCUUGAGCCAAACACAACUCUUAGGAUGUAACCUGCUUUACAAGAUGAGAAAGACACGAGUAAAAACAUCAGCAGACUCUGGAAGCAGGCGAGCUGGUGGAUUCAACUGGGACUCAGAAGACUGCACUUGAGGAGAUCAUCGUGAGUUGAAGAUCUCUUGCUUAGUCUCGCAGAAACUUCAUCAAGUCUAGCUCACCUGGGAGUCAGUUGGUGCCGGCGAAUCAAUUCGUGCCAGUGAAAUUCACCAAGAGCCUGAUUUACAAACUAGAGAGCCAUGGCCUUAAUUUUAGAGCAAAAGACAAACUUUUCCAAUGAAUAUAGUUUUCUUGUCCAAUAGCUAGGACACCCCCCUCCACCUGCUGUGUACUAAUGAAGCAGAUUUUUUUUUUUGAGUUUUGCUCUUGUUGCCCGGCUGGAGUGCAAUGACACCAUCU